AUGUGUUUUACAUUUUAUUCCAGCGUGCUCGUUGGGAGGUCUCUGCUCUACUUCAUGUCUGAUGAUGGGUGCAUCCUAGAGUAUGACUUUGCAGGUCAUGACCUGACUGUUUUCGACCCACCGAACUAUGAGUCCAUCUACGAUGGCCGAUAUAACAUCAUGCUGGCGGAGGACGGUGGACUGGGAGUUAGCCAAAGGAUGGAUCAGCAGCUCAAAUUGUGGACAAGGGUGAUUGAAGGCGCCGAUGCCCGAUGGGUACUGAGCCGGGUCAUUUACUUGCAAAAUUUGCUCCCAGAUGGUGCUCUCGUGGAGCCAGCAAGUUCAUUGUGUGUGUUGGGCUUUGCUGAGGGAGCAAAUGUCCUUUUCAUGACCACGGUUGCUGGCCUAUUCACAAUUGAACUACAAUCAGAGCGGAUGAGGAGGGUGUGUGAUGAUCAUGCCUUAUGUAAUUUGAUUCCAAUUGUUAGCUUCUACACUCCUGUGCCCCGAGGAGAGCAAAAGGAUCCAUCGUUUGAACCCAGUGAGGAUGCGGGUGGUCAGGAGGGAGGAGUGGAGGAGAAGAAAACGGUAGGUCAGGCACAUCAGUUGUUCGACAAUGGGUCCAACAUUAUCAAGGAGGGGGGCUUUGUGGGCGCCUUCGAUUACAUCAGCCAUGACCUCGAGAAUAGGUUAGGAUGCUCUUCCCAAAAGCUGUUAGCCCUGCUGAAGCAAAUAACCUGCAAUUUGUUCAGUGCUCUUUCGGAUCUGCUGUUGUUUGAAUAUGUCCAUAGUUGCUCUGAGCCUAUGACUUUCUGCGGUGAUGUGGUUACCCAGCUAUGA
Molecule: ribosomal RNA, 819 nt
Filed under: Triticum aestivum (bread wheat)
Lineage: Eukaryota; Viridiplantae; Streptophyta; Magnoliopsida; Poales; Poaceae
Description: partial small subunit ribosomal RNA
Source: RNAcentral